GAACGCGGUGUGUCCACCCAUAUCUUGCGCUGAGGCGCGCGACACAGCCGGUGUCAAAUGUUGUUACAAUUUGGUGCAACGCGUCUUGUUGCGGUUAUUGAUGUCUUAUUAUGAAUGUCAACAUUUUAACACCAUGUUUGUUAGCUAUACGCUUUCGUUUUGCAAACUACGUAUAUGUAGUUCGCAAAUAGGCCUCUGCAAUAGUAUUAGUCAGCAUUUCUUGAAGAAGUAGAAAAUCACCACCUGUAGGGCAAACAUAUUAUAGGCUAGCUACUGAUGUCUUUGAAGGUGACUAUUUUGGUGGAGGCCACGAAAAUGAAGGGAGUGCAUCGGAUAUAGAUAGAAAGAGAGAGGACCUGAAGAGAAAGAUGAUGGUUGAUGGACUCCAUGCUGUAUGUUAUGGAUUAAACUGUAUCUGUUGAUAGUGAUUGACGCCAGACUGGAGUUCCAAGGACCAAGGAUACCGAUUGUUGUUGUAUUCUGUGAAACACUGUGUGUUUCUGUAGCAGCUGUUUUGACUUCCUACAAGCCUCCCAGGCUGUUGUUUGCAGAACAUUUGGUGCUGUGUAAUUAGGAUAUAAGGGCUUUCUCUGCUAAGGUCAAGUUAGACAUGUUCUCUGCUUCUGUGCUGGGGGUGUCUCCCUGUUGCAACUUGUAAUUAAACCGAGAUGAUUCUGA
Molecule: long non-coding RNA, 678 nt
Organism: Salvelinus fontinalis (brook trout)
Lineage: Eukaryota; Metazoa; Chordata; Actinopteri; Salmoniformes; Salmonidae
Exons: 2
Source: RefSeq, a predicted model, not a curated record